GACGAACGCUGGCGGCGUGGAUUAGGCAUGCAAGUCGAACGGUAGGAUACCUUCGGGUAUCUGAGAGUGGCGAACGGGUGAGUAACACGUAGGUGAUCUACCCUCAAGAUUGGGACAACCCAGGGAAACUUGGGCUAAUACCGGAUGAAAGCAGCAGCGAUGUUGUUUGAAAGGUGGCGUAAGCUGCCGUUUGGGGAUGAGCCUGCGCUCUAUUAGUUAGUUGGCGGGGUAAAGGCCCACCAAGGCGAUGAUAGAUAGGCGGCCUUAACGGGUGGUCGCCCACACUGGGAUUGAGAUACGGCCCAGACUCCUACGGGAGGCAGCAGUCGAGAAUAGUCUACAAUGGCCGAAAGGCUGAUAGUGCGACGCCGCGUGAACGAAGAAGCCCUUCGGGGUGUAAAGUUCUUUUAUAUGUGAGCAGUGCUUCUUAUAUUAACAGUAUGGGGAGAGAGAUAUUAGCAUAUGAAUAAGCAACGGCUAACUCCGUGCCAGCAGCCGAC
Molecule: ribosomal RNA, 500 nt
Filed under: uncultured bacterium
Lineage: Bacteria
Description: bacterial SSU rRNA
Rfam family: Bacterial small subunit ribosomal RNA
Source: RNAcentral